AUUGAACGCUGGCGGCAUGCCUUACACAUACAAGUCGAACGGCAGCACGGGAGCAAUCCUGGUGGCGAGUGGCGAACGGGUGAGUAAUAUAUCGGAACGUGCCCAGUCGUGGGGGAUAACGUAGCGAAAGCUACGCUAAUACCGCAUACGAUCUAUGGAUGAAAGCGGGGGAUCGCAAGACCUCGCGCGAUUGGAGCGGCCGAUAUCAGAUUAGGUAGUUGGUGAGGUAAAGGCUCACCAAGCCGACGAUCUGUAGCUGGUCUGAGAGGACGACCAGCCACACUGGGACUGAGACACGGCCCAGACUCCUACGGGAGGCAGCAGUGGGGAAUUUUGGACAAUGGGCGCAAGCCUGAUCCAGCAAUGCCGCGUGCAGGAUGAAGGCCUCGGUUGUAACUAGCUUUGUUAC
RNAcentral lists this ribosomal RNA (409 nucleotides) under uncultured bacterium. RNAcentral's name for it is "bacterial SSU rRNA". It matches the Rfam family "Bacterial small subunit ribosomal RNA", at positions 30 to 441 of the family's 1533-position model. The record is from RNAcentral.